UUGGAGGGCAAGUCUGGUGCCAGCAGCCGCGGUAAUUCCAGCUCCAAUAGCGUAUAUUAAAGUUGUUGCAGUUAAAAAGCUCGUAGUUGAAUUUCGGGAUUAGUACGCUGGUCGUGCCUUCGGUACGUACUGGUGUUACUGAUUUCUACCUUCUGACGAACCAUCAUGUCAUUAGUUUGGUGUGGUGGGGAAUCAGGACUGUUACUUUGAAAAAAUUAGUGUGUUUAAAGCAGGCUCGCGCUUGAAUACAUUAGCAUGGAAUAAUGAAAUAGGACGUUGAUCCUAUUUUGUUGGUUUCUAGGAUUGACGUAAUGAUUAAUAGGGAUAGUUGGGGGCAUUAGUAUUCAAUUGUCAGAGGUGAAAUUCUUGGAUUUAUUGAAGACUAACUACUGCGAAAGCAUUUGCCAAGGAUGUCUUCAUUAAUCAAGAACGAAAGUUAGGGGAUCGAAGACGAUCAGAUACCGUCGUAGUCUUAACCAUAAACUAUGCCGACUAGGGAUCGGAUGAUGUUAUUUUUAAUGACUCAUUCGGCGCCUUACGGGAAAC
This 546-nucleotide ribosomal RNA is filed under the name uncultured Glomeromycotina. RNAcentral's name for it is "SSU rRNA". It matches the Rfam family "Eukaryotic small subunit ribosomal RNA", at positions 548 to 1098 of the family's 1831-position model. The record is from RNAcentral. Lineage: Eukaryota; Fungi; Glomeromycota.